RNAcentral lists this ribosomal RNA (2260 nucleotides) under Sedimenticola thiotaurini. RNAcentral describes it as "partial 23S ribosomal RNA". It matches the Rfam family "Bacterial large subunit ribosomal RNA", at positions 1 to 2295 of the family's 2925-position model. The record is from RNAcentral. Lineage: Bacteria; Pseudomonadati; Pseudomonadota; Gammaproteobacteria; Chromatiales; Sedimenticolaceae.
GUUAUAUGGUCAAGUGAAUAAGCGCAUAUGGUGGAUGCCUAGGCGAUAAGAGGCGAUGAAGGACGUUGUAGCUUGCGAUAAGCCACGGGGAGUCAGCAAACAGACUUUGAUCCGUGGAUUUCCGAAUGGGGAAACCCAGCCCGUAUAAGCGGGUUAUCAUGCACUGAAUACAUAGGUGUAUGAGGCGAACCCGGGGAACUGAAACAUCUAAGUACCCGGAGGAAAAGAAAUCAACCGAGAUUCCCUUAGUAGCGGCGAGCGAACGGGGAUUAGCCCUUAAGCUGUUGAUGUGUUAGUGGAACAUUCUGGAAAGUUUGGCGAUACAGGGUGAUAGCCCCGUACACGAAAACUAUUCAACAGUGAAAUCGAGUAGGGCGGGACACGUGAUAUCCUGUCUGAACAUGGGGGGACCAUCCUCCAAGGCUAAAUACUCCUUAUCGACCGAUAGUGAACCAGUACCGUGAGGGAAAGGCGAAAAGAACCCUUUUUAAGGGAGUGAAAUAGAACCUGAAACCGUAUGCGUACAAGCAGUGGGAGCCCUUCGGGGUGACUGCGUACCUUUUGUAUAAUGGGUCAGCGACUUACUUCUCAGUAGCAAGCUUAACCGAAUAGGGGAGGCGUAGGGAAACCGAGUCUUAAUAGGGCGAAUGAGUUGCUGGGAGUAGACCCGAAACCGGGCGAUCUAUCCAUGGCCAGGGUGAAGGUGGAGUAACAUCUACUGGAGGCCCGAACCGGGAUCUGUUGAAAAAGAUUCGGAUGAGCUGUGGAUCGGAGUGAAAGGCUAAUCAAGCUCGGAGAUAGCUGGUUCUCCUCGAAAGCUAUUUAGGUAGCGCCUCAUGUAUCACUCGCGGGGGUAGAGCACUGUUUCGGCUAGGGGGUCAUCCCGACUUACCAAACCGAUGCAAACUCCGAAUACCGCGAAGUGCAAUCAUGGGAGACAGACGGCGGGUGCUAACGUCCGUCGUCAAAAGGGAAACAACCCAGACCGCCAGCUAAGGUCCCAAAAUCACAUCUCAGUGGGAAACGAUGUGGGAAGGCAUAGACAGCUAGGAGGUUGGCUUAGAAGCAGCCAUCCUUUAAAGAAAGCGUAAUAGCUCACUAGUCGAGUCGGCCUGCGCGGAAGAUUUAACGGGGCUUAAGAUGUGUACCGAAGCUGCGGAUGCGUGUUUACACGCAUGGUAGAGGAGCGUUCUGUAAGCGGUUGAAGGUGUGUCGUAAGGCAUGCUGGACGUAUCAGAAGUGCGAAUGCUGACAUGAGUAACGAUAAAGGGGGUGAGAGGCCCCCUCGCCGAAAGCCCAAGGUUUCCUGCGCAACGCUAAUCGGCGCAGGGUUAGUCGGCCCCUAAGGUGAGGCAGAAAUGCGUAAUCGAUGGGAAGCAGGUUAAUAUUCCUGCACCUCUUAUUACUGCGAUGGAGAGACGGAGAAGGCUAGGCCAUCCGGGCGUUGGUUGUCCCGGUUUAAGCGAGUAGGGAGUGAGUUUAGGUAAAUCCGGACUCACAAUCCUGAGACGUGAUGACGAAGCAUCUUUGGAUGUGAAGUGGUUGAUGCCAUACUUCCAGGAAAAUCUUCUAAGCUUCAGGUAAUAAGAGACCGUACCCCAAACCGACACAGGUGGGCUGGAUGAGAAUUCCAAGGCGCUUGAGAGAACUCUGGUGAAGGAACUAGGCAAAAUGGUACCGUAACUUCGGGAGAAGGUACGCCCUUGAUGGUGAUGAGAUUUACUCUUUAAGCUAUUGAGGGUUGCAAUAAAAUGGUGGCUGCAACUGUUUAUUAAAAACAUAGCACUCUGCAAACACGAAAGUGGACGUAUAGGGUGUGACGCCUGCCCGGUGCCGGAAGGUUAAUUGAUGGGGUUAUCUUCGGAGAAGCUCUUGAUCGAAGCCCCGGUAAACGGCGGCCGUAACUAUAACGGUCCUAAGGUAGCGAAAUUCCUUGUCGGGUAAGUUCCGACCUGCACGAAUGGCGUAAUGAUGGCCACACUGUCUCCACCAGAGACUCAGUGAAAUUGAACUCGCUGUUAAGAUGCAGCGUACCCGCGGCUAGACGGAAAGACCCCGUGCACCUUUACUACAGCUUCACACUGGACUUUGAGCCUACUUGUGUAGGAUAGGUGGGAGGCUUUGAAACCGAGACGCCAGUCUUGGUGGAGCCAACCUUGAAAUACCACCCUGGUAUGUUUGGAGUUCUAACCUCGACCCGUUAUCCGGGUUAGGGACAGUGUGUGGUGGGUAGUUUGACUGGGGCGGUCUCCUCCCAAAG